UACGUAGGGUGCGAGCGUUGUCCGGAAUUAUUGGGCGUAAAGAGCUCGUAGGCGGUGUGUCACGUCGGCCGUGAAAACCUGCAGCUUAACUGUGGGCGUGCGGUCGAUACGGGCAUCACUGGAGUUCGGCAGGGGAGACUGGAAUUCCUGGUGUAGCGGUGAAAUGCGCAGAUAUCAGGAGGAACACCGGUGGCGAAGGCGGGUCUCUGGGCCGAUACUGGCGCUGAGGAGCGAAAGCGUGGGGAGCAAACAGG
RNAcentral lists this ribosomal RNA (254 nucleotides) under uncultured bacterium. Its description in RNAcentral is "partial 16S ribosomal RNA". It matches the Rfam family "Bacterial small subunit ribosomal RNA", at positions 524 to 776 of the family's 1533-position model. The record is from RNAcentral.